CAGUCGCCGCGGUAAUACGGAGGGAGCUAGCGUUAUUCGGAAUUACUGGGCGUAAAGCGCACGUAGGCGGCUUUGUAAGUAAGAGGUGAAAGCCCGGAGCUCAACUCCGGAACUGCCUUUUAGACUGCAUCGCUUGAAUCCAGGAGAGGUGAGUGGAAUUCCGAGUGUAGAGGUGAAAUUCGUAGAUAUUCGGAAGAACACCAGUGGCGAAGGCGGCUCACUGGACUGGUAUUGACGCUGAGGUGCGAAAGCGUGGGGAGCAAACAGGAUUAGAUACCCCAGUAGUCCCUGUCUCUUAUAC
This 301-nucleotide ribosomal RNA is filed under the name uncultured bacterium. Its description in RNAcentral is "partial 16S ribosomal RNA". It matches the Rfam family "Bacterial small subunit ribosomal RNA", at positions 509 to 807 of the family's 1533-position model. The record is from RNAcentral.